RNAcentral lists this unclassified non-coding RNA (89 nucleotides) under Pseudomonas sp. A214. The record is from RNAcentral. Lineage: Bacteria; Pseudomonadati; Pseudomonadota; Gammaproteobacteria; Pseudomonadales; Pseudomonadaceae.
UGUGGGAGCGAGCCUGCUCGCGAUGACGGCAGUAAAUCCAACUUCUGUGCAACUGAAUUACCGCUAUCGCGAGCAGGCUCGCUCCCACA